UGGGUGAUCUACCCUCGGUUUCGGGGUAGCCCGGGGAAACCCGGAUUAAUACCGAAUGGCCUCUAGAGCUCUCGGGCUCGAGAGAAAAGGUAGCUUCGGCCUCUGACCGAGGAUGAGCCCGCGGCCGAUUAGCUAGUUGGUGGGGUAACGGCCCACCAAGGCGACGAUCGGUAGCUGGUCUGAGAGGACGAUCAGCCACACUGGGACUGAGACACGGCCCAGACUCCUACGGGAGGCAG
RNAcentral lists this ribosomal RNA (239 nucleotides) under uncultured bacterium. RNAcentral describes it as "partial 16S ribosomal RNA". It matches the Rfam family "Bacterial small subunit ribosomal RNA", at positions 118 to 351 of the family's 1533-position model. The record is from RNAcentral.